AUUGAACGCUGGCGGCAGGCCUAACACAUGCAAGUCGAGCGAGCGGCGGACGGGUGAGUAAUGUAUGGGAAUCUGCCUAGUGGCGGGGGCUAACUAAUCGAAACGGUGGCUAAUACCGCAUACCAUUGGAGCAGCCGAUAUGGGAUUAGCUUGUAGGGGAGGUAACGGCGCACCUAGGCAACGAUCCAUAGCUGGUCUGAGAGGAUGAUCAGCCACACUGGGACUGAGACACGGCCCAGACUCCUACGGGAGGCAGCAGUGGGGAAUAUUGGACAAUGGGCGCAAGCCUGAUGCAGCCAUGCCGCGUGUAUGAAGAAGGCCUUCGGGUUGUAAAGUACUUUCAGGCGGGAGGCGUUACCGACAGAAGAAGCACCGGCUAACUCCGUGCCAGCAGCCGCGGUAAUUC
This 406-nucleotide ribosomal RNA is filed under the name uncultured bacterium. RNAcentral describes it as "partial 16S ribosomal RNA". It matches the Rfam family "Bacterial small subunit ribosomal RNA", at positions 30 to 526 of the family's 1533-position model. The record is from RNAcentral.